GGCCAACCAGCCCAAGGAACAUCUCACCAAUUUUAUAUCCGGUACCCACUGGAAAUUGGACUCUCCAACUCACCCGGCAGCCACUCCCAGAGCCACUGGAACUCUGGCCCAACGCUCUCUGACUGACUCCUUCCCAGAUCAUCUCAGCUUAGCGGCUGAAGAUUGAUGCUGCCCAAUCACCUCAGAAGCUUCCUGGACCAUCACAUACGCUUUGGGUAACUCUUACAGUGGAGGGGUAAGGGAUGUGCUUCAGGUGCAAAGAAUUUCAUUGACUGGAAUACUGUUAGAGUCAUAUUAUCAUCAUCAGUUUAUGCAUGGCCCACUUUGUAUCAUUUUAUUUCUAUUUUUAUUUAUUUUUACUUUAUUUAUUUCCCUCUUUAUCACCCUUCCCAAUCCCAUCUCCUUUCAUGAUGGAU
RNAcentral lists this long non-coding RNA (416 nucleotides) under Homo sapiens (human). Its description in RNAcentral is "HSALNT0408366". Lineage: Eukaryota; Metazoa; Chordata; Mammalia; Primates; Hominidae. The record is from RNAcentral.